UCAUCUUCCAUCCCAAACCUCUGAAAAGCAAGGAACGGGGAUGCUUGGGUCUGCUGAGAUGUGGCCUGGCGAGCCUGCAGCUUCUACUUGCUGGAGGCACAGGAAGGAAGGAAUUGUUCUUGGCCACGGUGACCGGACCGGUGACCUCUCCUGAUUCAUGCACGGCACGGCGCGCGCGCGCGGAGAUCCGUUGCAGAGAGCAAGGGAUCGAUCCAUCCGGUGGUGCGGCGUCAGCUAGACUAUGAGGGGAAAAAGCUGCCACUACCUAGCAGCCUAGUAUACGUUUCCUUGGAUGGGAGAACUUUGAUUUUAGAAAAUUUUCCAAAGAAAAGAGAGGAUGGCAGCCUACGUUUCCUUGGACGGGUGAAUUUGGGAGGCCUUGUUUAGUUUUCAAAAAGUUUUGCAAAAUUUUUCAGAUUCCCGUCACAUCGAAUCUUUAGAGAGGCUCAGACAGUCAAAAGGUCUGACUGACACACUGUAUAGGACUGCCAAGGGUCAAAUCUAUGGUCGACACUUCACACUCUGAUAAGCCGUACGCACGUCACAGGAGAGAAAUGCAGGGAUACAAGGGGCUGUCGGCCUCUUCAUCCCUAACGCUCUACAAACAGGCAAGGAAACCUGAUGCUUGGCACGCCUUCAGGCACAAGUUUUUUAAUUUUUUUUAAGAUUUUUCUUCACAUUAAAUUUUGCAGGCACAUGCAUAAAAUAUUAAAUAAAUAAGAAAAUAAAAAUUAAUUAUAUAAUUUACCUAUAUAAUUUACAAAAUAAAUCUUUUAAACAUAGUUAGUUCAUAAUUAAAUAAUAAUUAUCAAAUAUAAACAAAAAUACUAUAAUACCUAAAAUCUAAACAUUUUGCCAACUGAACAAGACCGAGCCUACUGGCUGGCCGAGGUGGGCAGAACUUCGUCUUUCCACUCCCUAAUUUUUAGCAUUAGCGUCUCAUACGUUGCAAUAUUUCAGGAAUUAGUUGGAAGUUUUUGGGACCAACAAUUAAGCAUUUUUUCUAUGCCAUUGUAAAAGCAUCCUAAAUAGAAAACUCAAACACUUAGAGCAUCUCAGGAGUGUUUGAAUACCAAUAUUGACUUACUUUAGCUAAUAACGAAAAAAUUGAAAUGGCUAGAGAGUACCAAUAUUUGAAUAUCUAAGUUGAUUCUUAAAGCAGUAUGAAUGUUUGUAUCUUUUAGGUAUCUUAUUAUAUAAACAUAUUCUAGAUUAAUUAGUAAAAUAUAUCUUCUACAUAUAUUUUGUUAAAUUUUAAGGUUGUUUAUUUUCUCAGAAAGCAAGGUUUUUAUUCUUAAGCUUAUUUUUUUACUGUAGAUAGACUAUAUAUACUAUGGCCUUGUUCAGUUGAGGAAAAAUUUGGGUUUUGGCUACUGUAGCACAUUCGUUUGUUUGUGACAAAUAUUAUCUAAUCAUGGACUAACUAGACUCAAAAGAUUCAGCUCGCGAAUUACAGAGGAGGUUUUCCAAGGUUCCAACCCAGGUUCCUACUCCUAUCCGUCCCACUCUCCCUCAAGCUAUUGCCCAAGCUUUUGAAGAGUUUGGUUCAUUUUGGUCACCAAAGCCUGAUAUGGCUAAGGCAGUUCAAUUUGCGGAGGAGAUCUGCAAGGUGCUGAAAGAUGUACCGGAAGAAGUGGCAAUAGCCAAAGCUUCUGGGCUAGUGGCUGAGUUAUCUAGGGUCCUGAAUGUGUCCACAUUUGAGACGAGGUUGUCUCAGGCUGAGCUUACCAUCAAGACUUAUAUGUAGACGAGGUUGUCUCAUUGCGAUUUAACGCUGUGUACUAAUAGUAGCGCGAUGGGAUUGAAUUCUGCUGGUAGCGAUGAACGCUGUGUAGUGAAUUGUGCUGGUAGCGAUGAACGCUGUGUAGAAGUGCGUGUGGUGCCCAUUGAAUGAACCCUGUGUGUUCAGUCCAAUGUGGCUGGAUGAUGGAGGAUUACUUUUGUGUAGUUACAAACAAGUAUUUUCGUUGCUUUAAUAGUAAUGAAAUUCUGCAUUUCCAGAA
This is an RNA transcript of Sorghum bicolor (sorghum), 2003 nucleotides long. RefSeq lists it as uncharacterized. Lineage: Eukaryota; Viridiplantae; Streptophyta; Magnoliopsida; Poales; Poaceae. The transcript has 6 exons. The record is from RefSeq and is a predicted model, not a curated record.